UCGCGAAAACUUCGCAAUGCGCGGAAGCGUGACGAGGGGAUUCUGAGUGCUUACGGUUUAACUGUAGGCUUUUCGUUAGGGCAAAUACCUAGCGGAAUAAGUGGUGGGCAAGACUGGUGCCAGCCGCCGCGGUAACCCCAGCGCCACAAGUGGGAACCACGCUUAUUGGGUCUAAAGCAUCCGUAGCCGGUUCUGCAAAUGCCCUGUGAAAUCGUUGCGCUCAACGUAACGUCGUGCAGGGUAGACUACAGAACUAGGGACCAGAGGAAGUAGACGGUAUUCCUGAGGGAGCGGUAAAAUGUGAUAAUCUCAGGAGGACCACCGAUGGCGAAGGCAGUCUACUAAUAUGGAUCCGACGGUGAGGGAUGAAAGCUAGGGGAGCGAUCCGG
Molecule: ribosomal RNA, 389 nt
Filed under: uncultured euryarchaeote
Lineage: Archaea; Methanobacteriati; Methanobacteriota
Description: bacterial SSU rRNA
Rfam family: Archaeal small subunit ribosomal RNA
Source: RNAcentral